GGAGGAUUCGCAUAGUGGCCUAGUGCGCGCUUGGAAAGCGCGUUGAGUGAAAGCUCUCAGGGGUUCGAAUCCCCUAUCCUCCG
This 83-nucleotide transfer RNA is filed under the name Janibacter limosus. Its description in RNAcentral is "tRNA-Ser". It matches the Rfam family "tRNA". Rfam says of the family: Transfer RNA (tRNA) molecules are approximately 80 nucleotides in length. The record is from RNAcentral. Lineage: Bacteria; Bacillati; Actinomycetota; Actinomycetes; Micrococcales; Intrasporangiaceae.